GGUAAGAUGGCUGAGUGUUGAAGCAUAAGGCUGUAGGCAUUUUUACAGAGAUUUGAUUCCUCUUCUUAACU
Molecule: transfer RNA, 71 nt
Filed under: Amazona aestiva (blue-fronted amazon)
Lineage: Eukaryota; Metazoa; Chordata; Aves; Psittaciformes; Psittacidae
Also listed under: 1 other name
Rfam family: tRNA
About the family: Transfer RNA (tRNA) molecules are approximately 80 nucleotides in length. Their secondary structure includes four short double-helical elements and three loops (D, anti-codon, and T loops). Further hydrogen bonds mediate the characteristic L-shaped molecular structure. tRNAs have two regions of fundamental functional importance: the anti-codon, which is responsible for specific mRNA codon recognition, and the 3' end, to which the tRNAs corresponding amino acid is attached (by aminoacyl-tRNA synthetases). tRNAs cope with the degeneracy of the genetic code in two manners: having more than one tRNA (with a specific anti-codon) for a particular amino acid; and 'wobble' base-pairing, i.e. permitting non-standard base-pairing at the 3rd anti-codon position.
Source: Rfam by way of RNAcentral